Homo sapiens (human) is the source of this 344-nucleotide long non-coding RNA. Ensembl annotates it as long intergenic non-protein coding RNA 2626. Lineage: Eukaryota; Metazoa; Chordata; Mammalia; Primates; Hominidae. The record is from Ensembl.
GAACUCCAGAACCAUCGGCUCUGACUGAAAGUGAAGCGGCAGCCGCGUUGUGGGAAAGCUGGCUGGAGUCUCUCUCAUAAGCAGGCAUUCUUUUUCUCCAGCCCGUCACUGUGUUGGUUUGGGCCCACGUUUGUGGCACAUUCUAGGCACUCGCCAUCAUGAAAUAAACCUCUGGAGCUGUGAUAUUACAAACGUGAAAAGAUGACGAGCACUCAGCAACUUUCAAUGAAGCGAAGAGACAAGGAGCAAUCCAAUGUGUAAUAAAAAAAGGCAGCCUGAAUUGUUGUUGCUGUUUUUGAAAUUUAAGCUGGUUUUCAAUUAAAUUCAGUAAAUGGUCCAGGACU